Molecule: long non-coding RNA, 575 nt
Organism: Dromaius novaehollandiae (emu)
Lineage: Eukaryota; Metazoa; Chordata; Aves; Casuariiformes; Dromaiidae
Exons: 4
Source: RefSeq, a predicted model, not a curated record
CGAAUCAGAAGAGUGUGGAAAUACGUACCGAGAACUGUUCCCACGCGUGUUUGGUUACAGACGAGGCUGUGGUUAAUGGUUAUCCCGGUUCUCGCCUGGAUCCCGUUGCUGAGGCUCGGGGUCUUCCCAGGGGUGGUCCAAGAGUUGUUGAACCUCGCAGGGGUGCCAGGGGUAAGUUGUGAGCGUUCCUUUACUUUGAGAGCUGCCAAGUGCCAGGCAAAAGGUGACGCCUGCCCCUCCACAGCUCUGAGACUCUCGACCUGCUAAUAGGUCCCAUGUCACUGCCUGGCCCCCCUUCCAUUCAGUGCAACUGCUGCGUGGAGCAAUCUGUACCAGCUUGUAAGGAAACCUUGUCACCAAUGCGUUCGGUUUGUGCUCUGCCUAUAGGCGAUGGUUACCAAACUUUUCAGCGGUAUCCAGUUCUCAUGCCUCAGGAGGAUCCCCAGGCUGUGGCCGUAGGGAGUGGAGAUCCCUCUUCUGCUCUGGAGCCUGGCCUGGAGACUCCGAGACAUCAUGGAGGUGUUCCUGUAGGCAGUGGCCUCCCAGCUUCUCAUCCGGAUGCCACUGUUAUGCCU